CAUGUCCUUUUGAUAAGAAUUUAAGGUCUAAUCUGCUCAAUGAUAUUUAAAUAGCCGCAGUAUUUUGACUGUGCAAAGGUAGCAUAAUAAUUAGUUUCUUUAUUGGGAACUGGAAUGAAUGAUUGGACAAGAAAAUUUCUGUCUCUUUCUUAAUUUUGUUGAAUUUUAUUUUUAAGUGAAAAAGCUUAAAUUUUUAUAAAAGACGAGAAGACCCUAUAGAGUUUAAUAUAAAAAUUCAAUAAGAAUUUAGAAUGUUUUUUUGUUUUUUAUGUAUUUAGUUGGGGUGUCUAAAAGAUUUAAAUAAUUCUUUUAAAAUAAAAUUGAAGAUUUUCAAAUACUAAAUCUAUAUUUUAUAAAUAUAAAAUAAAUUACCUUAGGGAUAACAGCGUAAUUUUUCUUUAAAGAUCUUAUUGUAAGAAAAGUUUGCGACCUCGAUGUUGGAUUAAAAUUAAUUUUUGGUGCAAUAACUUAAAAAUUAGGUCUGUUCGACCUUUAAAAUUUUACAUGAUCUGAGUUUAGACCGGUGUGAGCCAGGUCGGAUUCUAUCUUUAGAAAUUUUUUAUAUUUUAGUACGAAAGGACCAAAUAUAAGUUAAAUUAAUUGU
RNAcentral lists this ribosomal RNA (604 nucleotides) under Cautires renatae. RNAcentral's name for it is "partial 16S ribosomal RNA". It matches the Rfam family "Bacterial large subunit ribosomal RNA", at positions 1816 to 2715 of the family's 2925-position model. Lineage: Eukaryota; Metazoa; Arthropoda; Insecta; Coleoptera; Lycidae. The record is from RNAcentral.